GCCAUCGUAGCUCAGGGGUAGAGCAAUCGCCUCGUAAGCGAUAGGUCGUGGGUUCGAAUCCCACCGAUGGCU
RNAcentral lists this transfer RNA (72 nucleotides) under Bacteroidota bacterium. RNAcentral describes it as "tRNA-Thr". It matches the Rfam family "tRNA". Rfam says of the family: Transfer RNA (tRNA) molecules are approximately 80 nucleotides in length. Their secondary structure includes four short double-helical elements and three loops (D, anti-codon, and T loops). Lineage: Bacteria; Pseudomonadati; Bacteroidota. The record is from RNAcentral. RNAcentral also lists the same sequence under 1 other name.